RNAcentral lists this transfer RNA (74 nucleotides) under Desulfobacteraceae bacterium CG2_30_51_40. Its description in RNAcentral is "tRNA-Gln". It matches the Rfam family "tRNA". From Rfam's summary of the family: Transfer RNA (tRNA) molecules are approximately 80 nucleotides in length. Their secondary structure includes four short double-helical elements and three loops (D, anti-codon, and T loops). Further hydrogen bonds mediate the characteristic L-shaped molecular structure. tRNAs have two regions of fundamental functional importance: the anti-codon, which is responsible for specific mRNA codon recognition, and the 3' end, to which the tRNAs corresponding amino acid is attached (by aminoacyl-tRNA synthetases). tRNAs cope with the degeneracy of the genetic code in two manners: having more than one tRNA (with a specific anti-codon) for a particular amino acid; and 'wobble' base-pairing, i.e. permitting non-standard base-pairing at the 3rd anti-codon position. RNAcentral also lists the same sequence under 6 other names. The record is from RNAcentral. Lineage: Bacteria; Pseudomonadati; Thermodesulfobacteriota; Desulfobacteria; Desulfobacterales; Desulfobacteraceae.
UGGGGGAUCGUUCAGCGGUAGGACGACGGGUUCUGGCCCCGUUAACGAGGGUUCGAGUCCUUCUCCCCCAGCCA